Molecule: non-coding RNA, 2643 nt
Organism: Gasterosteus aculeatus aculeatus (three-spined stickleback)
Lineage: Eukaryota; Metazoa; Chordata; Actinopteri; Perciformes; Gasterosteidae
Source: RefSeq, a predicted model, not a curated record
UAUAAAAAAUAAAAACCAAGAAAGCAAAGAAGUCCGGAUCUUGGUCAUUGAGUGGAAUCCAGUCUGCAGUUUGAACCUCACAAAAGUCAGACCCUUGACAACGACUGUUGGGCAGCGAUGCUGAGAGACUCAUAUUAAACCAUCAUACGCACAUUCAGCCACUGAAGCCCAAUUUAGUUCAAAUGAAACUACUGAGGGGUCAUUACUUAUGCUUUUAUUUUGAAACAUUGACGGCAAUGUUUGGCAGAGACGACUUGGUGUGUUACGCUCGGAGGGGCGUGGCCUGUUAACGGCUUGUCACGGUUUACAGUGGACUAAAUGUUAAUGUACUAUGAGGUAUUUGAUAAGGUAUGACGGUGGGAUACUGGUCCCUUUAUGUGUUUGGGGAAGGCUAAUUAAAGAACUCAAGCAGGGACGUUUAUGUGUAGUUUUCCAGGACUACUUUGCAAAUAAUACUUAAAUACUAUAGUAGUAGUAUCAUUUAAACUUGAAAUGUGUACUUUACAGUGCAUGGCGUUCGGCCCGAUAGCGGAAAAGAACCUGGAAUCAUCCGUCUCUAGCUGAUCAAAAAGUGUGAACGUUCAUUUCUUGUCCUUGGCUUUGUAUAUUAAUAAUGUGUGAACACAACGUGAGUUCUUCCAUGUGUACAAACUUAAAUGCUUUGAGGCAACGGGCUUCCGCUCAAUGUUCCAGUGAAGUCAGCUAGUUCAGGCUGAGCGUGUACCCGAGCUAUUUAUGUUAAUUGCUCUUUCCUUGUGUUCCGCUCAUGCAUGUGGAUACAGGCCCCCCGUCGGGUGUAACCAGCUGGAAACUGCAGCUCUUCUGCACCGGUCGCCUGUUUACUGUAAAGUGCUGGUGACCAGGGUUUAUCUCCAGUGGCUGGUUGGAGUGCAGCUGAUUCCGUGUUGAACCCAGAGAACACGUGGACCUGAUGUGAUGGAUAGAAACGUCUUUAAGGUAAAGCCGCUAGGAUUCAUCCAGAUCGUGUUCCUCUACAAUAAGAUGUUUUCUCUUAAGUGACCAACGGAGCGUCAGGAGCUCAUUCUGUUCCGUGGAAUCCAUCCGGCCUGAUUCCACGGUAAUCCAUCCUGCAGAUGUGGUUUCCAGUCACGGCUCGAUUAGGAGACACAGGAGCUCACGUACGGAGGAGAAAGAAAAACUGUGGUUAUUGUUCAGUCUCCUCUGUGCUUUGCUUUAGUGUUGUCAUGCAUCUGUCUGCGCGGCCAUUCUGUGUCUCUUUGUAGUCAUUAUAUGUCUCUUCGUAGUGACUCAUUGUCUCUUUGUGGCCACAAUGUGUCUAUUUGUAGUCAUUCUUUGUCUUUUUGUUGUUCUUUUCUGUGUCUCUUUGCAGUGAUUAUUUGUCUCUCGGUAGUCGUUCAUUGUCUUUGUCUUUCUACUACUACUUGGAGUCCCUCUUGCUUCGUCCUUUUCUGUGUCUGAGGUUGUUUGCAUAUCGUUUGUAAGGUUUUGGGGGUCUUUAAUCUGUAAACUUGAUCAUUAUAAUCAACACACACCAGGAUUUCUUUUAAAGCACAUUUUUACAGCUUUAACAGUCUCACUGCACAAGGACUCGCAUGUCCAGGAGCACUUGUCCUACAUUAGCCACUACAAGGACUCCCUGCUGAGGCCGUGCCGGAGUCCCACGCGGAAGCCUGAGAUUUGUGCUUCAGUGCUUUAUUCGUUGUAAAGGACCAAUUAGACCGAAAACUGUAACAGUUUGAAGCGACACUUUGCUGCUCCUCGCAGACGAGUCCUCCUAGAAAAAUCCGUCUUUCAAUUUACUUUGACGUAUUUCUCUUGAGGCUGUUAUGAAGAACGGCGCAGUGAGUUAAAUCCAUCGUCGCGUCGGCAACCGAUGAUCUCAUGAGGGCAGAGAGACGCAAGGUGUCCCGUGAAGACGUGUUGACGGGCGGUUUGGUUCAUAUUUUGUUUAAAUUACACCAGACGAGGAGUUUGGGGAAUAAAUGUUUCUCUGCAGGAACCGAUAACGACACAGAGAAAUCUCAACCAGGAGUAAAAGAGACAGAUGUCAUAGAGAAAUACGGGAGACAAAAAGUGGUUUUUGGGGGUAAUUCCUGUUCUCCUAAGUGAGAGCAUUGCCCAGGGGGCACAACUGGGCUGCCCUGAUACCCGCGCACAGCUGGACGUUAACGGUUUCCAGGGUUCUACACAGGGAGUGAAGGAACCGUCCCAGUGAUCGAUACAUCACUAAAGAUCAAAGAAUACGAAGAAGUCCAGCACGUGAAUACAGAUGUUUAUGUAAGAACUCUUCUCCCGCCCUUUCCAAUGAAUCAUCUCUCGACUCCUCCGGACUCACAUAAAGCGUUUAAAACCAGCUCCACCCAAAGCAGCUUUGAGGGCAACUUUAGUCUGACGAACGCAGGAUGCCGGCCGUCAGCUCCUCGUCAGAUGAUGUCUUUGUGAUGUGAUGGAGUGCAACUUCUGACUGAAGUCGUGAGGUAAUACGGGGUAAUCUGUGGCGGCGCGAAGCGUUUGAUCAGUCGGCCUCUUGUCUGCUCCGGCUGUUUGAGGUCGACUCGAUGCGUCAGCGCGCCGACAAGGUCGAUUACAAGUUUGCAUCGUGGGGAAACUCGAGAGAGGGAAGAAUGUCUGCAAGAGAAAUAGAUCCCAGGCACACGAUGG